Molecule: ribosomal RNA, 503 nt
Filed under: uncultured bacterium
Lineage: Bacteria
Description: partial 16S ribosomal RNA
Rfam family: Bacterial small subunit ribosomal RNA
Source: RNAcentral
AUUGAACGCUGGCGGUAGGCUUAACACAUGCAAGUCGAGCGGGGUGAUGGUGCUUGCACUAUCACUUAUCGGCGGACGGGUGAGUAAUGCUUAGGAAUCUGCCUAUUAGUGGGGGACAACAUCUCGAAAGGGAUGCUAAUACCGCAUACGUCCUACGGGAGAAAGCAGGGGAUCACUUGUGACCUUGCGCUAAUAGAGGAGCCUAAGUCGGAUUAGCUAGUUGGUGGGGUAAAGCCAUACCAAGGCGACGAUAUGUAGUGGGUCGGGGAGGAUGAUCCGCCACACUGGGACUGAGACACGGCCCAGACUCCUACGGGAGGCAGCAGUUGGGAAUAUGGGACAAUGGGGGGAACCCUGAUCCAGCCAUGCCGCGUGUGUGAAGAAGGCCUUAUGGUUGUAAAGCACUUUAAGCGAGGAGGAGGCUCUUUUGGUUAAUGCCCAAGAUGAGUGGACGUUACUCGCAGAAUAAGCACCGGCUAACUCUGUGCCAGCCGCCGCCGUAA